RNAcentral lists this ribosomal RNA (442 nucleotides) under uncultured bacterium. Its description in RNAcentral is "partial 16S ribosomal RNA". It matches the Rfam family "Bacterial small subunit ribosomal RNA", at positions 338 to 795 of the family's 1533-position model. The record is from RNAcentral.
CCUACGAGAGGCUGCAGUAGGGAAUCUUUCACAAUGGGCGAAAGCCUGAUGGAGCAACGCCGCGUGCAGGAUGAAGGCCUUCGGGUUGUAAACUGCUUUUAUAAGCGAGAAAUAUGAUGGUAACUUAUGAAUAAGGAUCGGCUAACUACGUGCCAGCAGCCGCGGUCAUACGUAGGAUCCGAGCAUUAUCCGGGGUGACUGGGUGUAAAGAGUUGCGUAGGUGGCAUCAUAAGUAUCUAGUGGAAUCUGGUGGCUCAAACAUUCAGACUAUUAGCUAAACUGGUAAGCUCGGCACCGUUAGGGGGUAAUGGAAUUUCUAGUGUAGGAGUGAAAUCCGUAGAUAUUAGAAGGAAAACCAAUAGCGUAGGCAGGGUACUGGGACGGUUCUGACACUAAGGCACGAAAGCGUAGGGAGCAAACGGGAUUAGAUACCCCUGUAGUC